This is a long non-coding RNA of Lagopus muta (rock ptarmigan), 1397 nucleotides long. RefSeq lists it as uncharacterized. The transcript has 2 exons. The record is from RefSeq and is a predicted model, not a curated record. NCBI's taxonomy places the organism in Eukaryota, Metazoa, Chordata, Aves, Galliformes, Phasianidae.
GAGCUUCACCCCGCGACCCGGGAGCGCUCCGUACCGACUCGAAGGCCGAGGGAGCCGCAACGGUGCGGGACUGAAGGCCGAAAGAGAACACGCGUGGGGCGCGACCCCUCCGGGCAGGAAACCGACCCCAGACCUCCCCGAACUCGCAGGAUCGUUCCGGUGGGAAAAACCCGCUUAAAGCCCCACGUCCAACCCCGACGCGCCCCCACCCGCCCACGGGCCGCGUCCCGGUGCUGCGACUCCAAAUCCCCCUUAAGCCCCACAGCGGCCACGGACCGACCCACACCGCACCCGAGGGUUUAGGAGAUCUCGGGGCGGACGGAAGGAAGGUGGGCGCGAUGGGAGAGCCGUGAAGGCGGAUGCGGGUCCCGGUGGGGAAACUGAGGGCAGCACGGGCUCCGCAGUGCCGUUCCUCCCCCUCCAGCCCCACCCGGAGCUCCUUCGGUACAGAUCAGGGUCAGCCCUGACGCAGCCCGCUCUCCUUUGUAAUUACUAAAAGCUGGUUAUUCUUAGAAACCCUAAUGGAUUAAAUUAGAGACGGCACGAAGCGUUGACACAGCACGGUAAUGACAUCCUGCAGCUGAGUCACGGCUCCGGCCGGCCCGCGGCAUCUCCAGCUUUUCUUCGCGCUCCGCGGCGCCGUCGCUCAGUUCCGACGCAGAGCCGUGGGAGCUUCGCCCUCACCCCGCGCGGAAAGAAGCGCAGCAGCGCCGGGUGCAGCCGCAGGCACGCAGCUCUCGCUGCACGGUUUGCACGAGCUGCAGCAAUGAGGACCGAUUUUCUGUUCGGCUGCUCGCUGGAUCGCGGCACGGCGGCAGCACGGAGCAGGAUGAGCGCCUGCCCUGCUGGGAGGCAGCGCCGCGCAGCGCCGCGCGCUUCAGGCCCCGCUGUUCAGCACAAGGCUUCUUUUUUUUGCCCCUCCCUGCCCCCCUCUCAGCUCCUUUCUCAGCGGUCGGCAGCACAGAGCGCCGUUUUCCCCUUGCUGAGAGCGCAGGCCCACGCUGCAGCAUUGCAGGCACCCCGCAAUGAAAACAAAUGAGGCAAUGUGCCGGGUGCAGCAGGAGCUCAGGGCAGGUAACAGCGCCAGCAGCUCCGCAAAGGCAGCAGGAAUUUCUCCACGCAGCUCCGGCUGCUGGGGCACAAAGGUGUCCUCACCUCUGCGGGGCGCCCAGCAGCCACCCGUGAGCCGGGCCUGCAUUCCAGCUGCAGGCGAUUCCCCACUGCCAACCCAUCCCUGCAGCCCAGAGGAGCUGAAGGCUCCUUCCAAACGACUCCUCGACGAAGCCAAAAGAUUUAACUUUGUUUUGAAAGUUUAUUGGAUCAUCUCGACACAAAAUCAUUACAGCAGCUUGUGGGAUGUUCUCUUUUUCUUUUUCUUUCUUUUUUUUUUUUGUUUU